RNA transcript from Motacilla alba alba, 1920 nucleotides. It is a transcript of the gene named hyaluronan binding protein 4, with no coding region annotated. Lineage: Eukaryota; Metazoa; Chordata; Aves; Passeriformes; Motacillidae. The record is from RefSeq and is a predicted model, not a curated record. The transcript has 9 exons.
GGCGCGUGAGCCGGGCCGCCGCUGCUCGCGCCCGGCGUGCGCGGUGUUUCGGCGCCGCGCAGCAGCGGCGGCCUCUUGGGGGGGCCCGGCGGCCGCCGGGGCGCGGGCAGGGGGCGGUCGGGGGAGGCGAGGUGGCCGCGUGGAUGAUGACGGGGCUGGUGGGCAGCCCGGUGGGUGCCGUCAUGCAGGAAAACUUCGGGUGCUCCGUCGCCAAUCGCUUCUGCCAGCUCCUGGACGACGAGUCGGACCCGUUCGACGUCCUGCGCGAGGCCGAGCGCCGCCAGCAGCAGAGGAAGAAGCGCGACGAGGCGGCGGCCGUCGCCCGGGGAGCCGUGCCCGGCGGCCGGGCGGGCGGCGGCAAGAGGGAGAGCCAGAAGGAGCGUAAGCAGCCGGAGAGCUCCCCUGCACCCUCCCCUGCGCCGCCGCCGCAGCCAGGCCCAAAGCGAGUACCCAAGCAGGGAGAACAACAAGGGUUCAGUAACAGAGGCGCAGAGGGGAAACAGGACAAAACUGAAUGGAGACCAUCUUUCAGGGAAUACCGUCCCUAUGGAGCACAAAGACAAGUGGAAUUUUCAGUGGAACGACCAGUGGAAAGAUUAGACUAUGAAAGACCAAUAAGAGGCCGUGGUGGGGGAAGAGGCAGAAUGAGAGGCAGAGGAAGAGGUGGUGGAUUAAAUGGAAGUUUUGAUGGGUUUGACCAAAGACGAAAACGAGAACCUGAAAGACAAAGUGGGAAUGAUAAAAUAGGUGUGAAAGCAGAUGACAAAAAGGGUGGAGGUGGAGCUCGCAACUGUAGAACAAUGAAAGAUGAUGUGAGUGGGAAGGGACGUACUGCAUCUAUGGAGGAGACCGUGGAAACUCCUGAACAGCCAGUGACAUCUGAAGGAGAGCCUCUGAGCAAAGCUGCUGAAGGAGAGCCAAUGGAAGAAGUGGUUCAAGAAAUGACAUUAGAUGAAUGGAAAAAUCUUCAGCAACGGAAUCGACCAAAGCCUGAAUUCAACAUCCGGAAGCCAGAAUCCACUGUUCCUUCCAAAGCAGUGGUGAUUCACAAGUCAAAAUACAGUGACGAUCUGCAAAAAGAAGACUUUGAAGAUAAUUCUCAUGUCUUUCGAAAACCAGUGAAUGAUAUAACUUCUCAGCUGGAUAUUAAUUUUGGGAGUCUUCCUCGCCCUGGCCGUGGAUCAAGAGGAACACGAGGUGGUCGUGGCAGAAGACCUCAAGAGACAGGACCUCGACCAGAAGUAGUGGUGCAGCUUGUUGCUCCAAAUCCUGAUGAUCUUGAGGAUUUUCCGGCAUUAGCUUGAAGACCCAUUGUGAAUGGUGGUAUCUCAAAGUCGCUCUGUUAACUAUGAAUGGACCAGUUCUAUGCUGGUGUGGAUUAAGGAAGCCACUUUCCCUCUGGAUAGUUGUUCAGGUGUUUGCUGAGGAAUGAUUGCAGCUGUCUGCUAAAAGAGCUUUAACAUACUUGAGCCAGAUUUUCUGUUCCCUGUCCAAGGGGACACUGAGAGCCAUUCUGGGGGAUAUGAGAGAAACAAGAAAUGGUGCCAGAGGUGAUGACAGAAAGAAAUGAGAGGACAUGCACACUGGACAUUUUGGAAGUAGCUGCCAGCCUCACAGGAGUCUUCAGAUGCCUGCUCAACUUGAACACAUUCUUUAAAUUUACUGGGAAAGCAGAUGACUAUAAACUUUUCACAUUUUCCAGUUCUGUGCCUCACUUCUAAGCAGUCUCCUUUGAGACUAAAUAGUGGAUGAAACUUAGAAGAAAAACUUUUUUUCUUUGGAGUAAGUUCUAAGAGUACUCACAAUCUUAAAGACUUUUCUCACUGAUAAGGCUUUACUCAAAUAGGAUGUAGUCAUACUACAAAGACUCUUUUCUAUAUGCUCCAAACAGAUGGUCUGCAGAGUAGUUCAGCCCAAAGG